Long non-coding RNA from Symphalangus syndactylus (siamang), 725 nucleotides. RefSeq lists it as uncharacterized. Lineage: Eukaryota; Metazoa; Chordata; Mammalia; Primates; Hylobatidae. The record is from RefSeq and is a predicted model, not a curated record.
GAGGCUCUGUCUUUCUGAGGGUCAGAGCUCUCCCAGGGCAAGGACAUGGUGCCCAGGUCUCUGCUGACUGAGCACUGCCUUGGAAGCUGAAGAGCUCUGGAAGGCAGCAAGGACAGCAGUGGCCAGGGAGAAACAAGCCCAGGGAACAAAGGAAGGUGCACUGCAAACAUACUGGAGAAGGAGGAAUGGGCCAGACCAGGUCUCAGCCAGCCAGGGACCCCAGGUGAGGCCCAGCAUGGUGGAUCACAGGAUGCUAAAGACACCAGUGCAGAGAGGUUAUUCUGGAGGCCAGAAAGCCACCUUUUUUAAAAAACUGAACUUCUAUUUCCCAGCCACUGUGCUGAGCUACCAAGUGCUUGACUUGAGGCCCAGGCAAUCAAGGUCUUUCCAGUCCCCUUCCCAAUGAGCUAUCCCGGAAGUCAACUGGAAUGGAUUUUCCCAGCUCUUGAAAAGAGUUGUUUCAAGAACAGUCUCUUUUCCUGCCUCUUGAUACUGCAUCUUCAUAUAUCAUCUGGAAAUGCUAUAGUUGUCUUGGGAUCCAAAGGAGAACCCAUCCAAAAAAAUCAACUUAAUACCCUCAGGAUGGAAAAGUAAGCAUGGAAACAACCUAGUCCCUUGAUGCCACUGAAUCAACAGGACCCAGAACUAUUAUGUUCCCACACUUACUGGGAUGUGAAAGCAUGCAAUUUUAUUAUCAUUAAAGCUAUUUUUAGUUCAGCCUUCCA